This 468-nucleotide ribosomal RNA is filed under the name uncultured bacterium. RNAcentral's name for it is "partial 16S ribosomal RNA". It matches the Rfam family "Bacterial small subunit ribosomal RNA", at positions 28 to 507 of the family's 1533-position model. The record is from RNAcentral.
GACGAACGCUGGCGGCGUGCUUAACACAUGCAAGUCGAACGGAAAGGCCCUGCUUUUGUGGGGUGCUCGAGUGGCGAACGGGUGAGUAACACGUGAGUAACCUGCCCUUGACUUUGGGAUAACUUCAGGAAACUGGGGCUACUACCGGAUAGGAGCUCCUGCUGCAUGGUGGGGGUUGGAAAGUUUCGGCGGUUGGGGAUGGACUCGCGGCUUAUCAACUUGUUGGUGGGGUAGUGGCUUACCAAGGCUUUGACGGGUAGCCGGCCUGAGAGGGUGACCGGCCACAAUGGGACUGCGGUACGGCCCAGACUCCUACGGGAGGCAGCAGUGGGGAAUAUUGCACAAUGGGCGGAAGCCUGAUGCAGCAACGCCGCGUGCGGGAUGACGGCCUUCGGGUUGUAAACCGCUUUCGCCUGUGACGAAGCGUGAGUGACGGUAAUGGGUAAAGAAGCACCGGCUAACUACGUG